Molecule: non-coding RNA, 65 nt
Organism: Podarcis lilfordi (Lilford's wall lizard)
Lineage: Eukaryota; Metazoa; Chordata; Lepidosauria; Squamata; Lacertidae
Source: the annotation of a GenBank genome assembly
AUGCUCAGUGGCAGAGCAAGUGCCUUUCAUGCAGCAGGUCUUGGGUUCAAUCUCCAGCAUAUAUA